GGGACACGUGGUAUCCUGUCUGAAUAUGGGGGGACCAUCCUCCAAGGCUAAAUACUCCUGACUGACCGAUAGUGAACCAGUACCGUGAGGGAAAGGCGAAAAGAACCCCGGCGAGGGGAGUGAAAAAGAACCUGAAACCGUGUACGUACAAGCAGUGGGAGCACGCUUAGGCGUGUGACUGCGUACCUUUUGUAUAAUGGGUCAGCGACUUAUAUUCUGUAGCAAGGUUAACCGAAUAGGGGAGCCGAAGGGAAACCGAGUCUUAACUGGGCGUUAAGUUGCAGGGUAUAGACCCGAAACCCGGUGAUCUAGCCAUGGGCAGGUUGAAGGUUGGGUAACACUAACUGGAGGACCGAACCGACUAAUGUUGAAAAAUUAGCGGAUGACUUGUGGCUGGGGGUGAAAGGCCAAUCAAACCGGGAGAUAGCUGGUUCUCCCCGAAAGCUAUUUAGGUAGCGCCUCGUGAAUUCAUCUCCGGGGGUAGAGCACUGUU
This 493-nucleotide ribosomal RNA is filed under the name Escherichia coli. RNAcentral describes it as "partial 23S ribosomal RNA". It matches the Rfam family "Bacterial large subunit ribosomal RNA", at positions 419 to 914 of the family's 2925-position model. Lineage: Bacteria; Pseudomonadati; Pseudomonadota; Gammaproteobacteria; Enterobacterales; Enterobacteriaceae. The record is from RNAcentral.